Molecule: ribosomal RNA, 253 nt
Filed under: uncultured bacterium
Lineage: Bacteria
Description: partial 16S ribosomal RNA
Rfam family: Bacterial small subunit ribosomal RNA
Source: RNAcentral
UACGAAGGGUGCAAGCGUUACUCGGAAUUACUGGGCGUAAAGCGUGCGUAGGUGGUUUGUUAAGUCUGUUGUGAAAGCCCCGGGCUCAACCUGGGAAUGGCAAUGGAUACUGGCAAGCUAGAGUGCGGUAGAGGGUAGUGGAAUUCCCGGUGUAGCGGUGAAAUGCGUAGAGAUCGGGAGGAACGCCCGUGGCGAAAGCGAGCCCCUGGACGUCUACUGACGCUGAGACGCGAAAGCCAGGGGAGCGAACGGG